AUGGAUCCAGGCAUUUGGGGGGACUCUGACAGGAAAAUGGUGCUGGGAGAACAAGGGGGGACUUGGGUCUGCUGGGUUACAAGUGUUAAAGCAGGACAGUGGAGGAAAUACAGAACCACGGGAUGGUUUGGGUUAGAAGGGACCAUAAAGAUCAUCCAGGGACACCUCCCACCAUCCCAGGCUGCUCCAGCCCCAUCCAACCCGGCCUCGGACACUUCAGGGAUCCAGGAGCAGCCACAGCUUCUCUGGGCACCUGUGCCAGGUCCUGCCCACCCUCAGUGUCCCCCUGGGUGCCCCUUUGUCCCCCUGGGUCCCCCUUUGUCCCCUUGGGUCCCCCUUUGUCCCCCUGUGUCCCCCUGGGUCCCCUUUGUUCCUGGGUCCCCCUUUGUCCCCCUGGGUCCCCUUUGUUCCCUGUGUCCCCCUUUGUUCCUGGGUCCCCCUUUGUUCCUUGGGUCCCCUUUGUUCCCUGGGCCCCACUUUGUCCCCCUGGGUCCCCCUUUGUCCCCCUGGGUCCCCCUUUGUCCCCUGUGUCCCCCUUUGUCCCCCUGGGUCCCCCUUUGUCCCCCUGGGUCCCCCUUUGUUCCUGGGUCCCCCUUUGUCUCCCUGGGUCCCCUUUGUUCCUGGGUCCCCCUUUGUUCCCCUGGGUCCCCCUUUGUCCCCCUGUGUCCCCUGUGUCCCCUGGGUCCCCUUUGUCCCCCUGGGUCCCCCUUGGUGCAGUGCCCCGUGCCAGAGCCCUGGGCCCAGGGACCUGCAGGGGAGGCAGGGGGACGCUUCCAGGAGGCCCCAAACUGGUGUCACUGGUGUGGGCCCAGUGUGACCCCCGGCAGAGUGGAAACCCAGCUCAAUCUCCAGAGUCUUUAUUCAACACCGAGUCAUAAAAUAGCUCUUUACACGCUUUGCUGGGGGUCGUUUCUCUGUAAUUCUUUAAAUACACAUUGUUUACACUUGCCAAAGUUUCAAAGCAACAACAUCAAAGUGCGUCUACAGGUGAGAGUUCCAUCCAAAGUGCUGAAAACACGGACUCCUGGCCGGAGCUGGGCCCUGCUCCCACCAAAACCCCGGCUCCUCCCGGCUGCUCCCCCAUCCCGGCGCUCCCCAGGACACGGCUCCGGCAGAUCUCACACCAAGGGCCCGGUUCAGCAUCGAGGGACCAGGGGAUGGGGGGAAAAAAGGGAUGUUUGGUUCUCCAGACACUGGCACAUCGCUGCAGAAAGACUAAAAUAG
This 1224-nucleotide long non-coding RNA is filed under the name Parus major (Great Tit). Its description in RNAcentral is "lncRNA (ENSPMJG00000006201.1)". Lineage: Eukaryota; Metazoa; Chordata; Aves; Passeriformes; Paridae. The record is from RNAcentral.